GACAGAGGGUGCAAACGUUGUUCGGAAUUACUGGGCGUAAAGCGAGUGUAGGCGGUUUGAUAAGUCGGAUGUGAAAGCCCCGGGCUCAACCCGGGAAGUGCACUCGAUACUGUCAAGCUAGAGUAUCGGAGAGGUUGGUGGAAUUCUCGGUGUAGAGGUGAAAUUCGUAGAUAUCGAGAGGAACACCGGUGGCGAAGGCGGCCAACUGGACGAAUACUGACGCUGAGACUCGAAAGCGUGGGGAGCAAACAGG
This 253-nucleotide ribosomal RNA is filed under the name Labilithrix sp. Its description in RNAcentral is "partial 16S ribosomal RNA". It matches the Rfam family "Bacterial small subunit ribosomal RNA", at positions 524 to 776 of the family's 1533-position model. Lineage: Bacteria; Pseudomonadati; Myxococcota; Polyangiales; Labilitrichaceae. The record is from RNAcentral. RNAcentral also lists the same sequence under 3 other names.